UAGGGAAUCUUCGGCAAUGGGGGGAACCCUGACCGAGCAACGCCGCGUGAGUGAAGAAGGUUUUCGGAUCGUAAAGCUCUGUUGUUAAGGAAGAACGAGUGUGAGAAUGGAAAGUUCAUGCUGUGACGGUACUUAACCAGAAAGGGACGGCUAACUACGUGCCAGCAGCCGCGGUAAUACGUAGGUCCCGAGCGUUGUCCGGAUUUAUUGGGCGUAAAGCGAGCGCAGGCGGACUAGCCAGUCAGUCUUAAAAGUUCGGGGCUUAACCCCGUGAUGGGAUUGAAACUACUAGUCUAGAGUAUCGGAGAGGAAAGUGGAAUUCCUAGUGUAGCGGUGAAAUGCGUAGAUAUUAGGAAGAACACCAGUGGCGAAGGCGACUUUCUGGACGAACACUGACGCUGAGGCGCGAAAGCCAGGGGAGCGAACGGG
Molecule: ribosomal RNA, 429 nt
Filed under: Verrucomicrobiota bacterium
Lineage: Bacteria; Pseudomonadati; Verrucomicrobiota
Description: Verrucomicrobia bacterium partial 16S ribosomal RNA
Rfam family: Bacterial small subunit ribosomal RNA
Source: RNAcentral